Sapajus apella (tufted capuchin) is the source of this 331-nucleotide long non-coding RNA. RefSeq lists it as uncharacterized. The transcript is spliced from 2 exons. Lineage: Eukaryota; Metazoa; Chordata; Mammalia; Primates; Cebidae. The record is from RefSeq and is a predicted model, not a curated record.
AGUUCCCUCGCGUCAGACCACUCAGCCAUUCACUCUCUGCAGCUGGUCCAGGGGUGACUCAGACCACAGGGCCUGUGUUUUCCAGGGUUCUGAGAAUGGACCCCAUUGUGACCAUGUGGCUUGUCCAGAGAGGCUGGAAUUCCUGCCCUGGGUGAAAAAGCUGAAUUCCUGCGGAGAGAAGGGGUCUCAGGCUCCCCAGGCUAUGUCCCAGAGAGGCCACAUGCUCCAGACAUCACAGACCCCAGAACCCCCCGGCAUUUUGCUUGUCUCCUGAACAUCCCAGAGGGUCUCUGCUGCUGCUCUGUCCAUAGCGAAAGAACAAAGCACUGUC